RNAcentral lists this small nuclear RNA (124 nucleotides) under Ixodes scapularis (black-legged tick). RNAcentral's name for it is "U1 spliceosomal RNA". It matches the Rfam family "U1 spliceosomal RNA", at positions 1 to 130 of the family's 166-position model. From Rfam's summary of the family: U1 is a small nuclear RNA (snRNA) component of the spliceosome (involved in pre-mRNA splicing). Its 5' end forms complementary base pairs with the 5' splice junction, thus defining the 5' donor site of an intron. There are significant differences in sequence and secondary structure between metazoan and yeast U1 snRNAs, the latter being much longer (568 nucleotides as compared to 164 nucleotides in human). Lineage: Eukaryota; Metazoa; Arthropoda; Arachnida; Ixodida; Ixodidae. The record is from Rfam by way of RNAcentral.
AUACUUACCUGGUGCUGGGCGGCCCCUGAUCAGGGAGGGGGGCGCCCCGGGCGGAGGCCUUCCAUUGCACUUCGGUUGCUGAAACUGCCACUUUCCCAACUGGGAUAGCUGGGGCAUGCAAUUU